CUGCCCAUCGGCGCGCGCGCCGCAGAUCCACGCCGCCCUGCCACAGUGAUGCCGCCAUCCCCACCGCCGCACGCGCCGCAGAUCCAUGGCCGUCCUCCCGAGAUUAGUCGUGCGAGUUGAUGCCCAAGGCCACCUCUCUCUCUCUCUCUCCCCCGCCCCCUGCCUCCCCCACGCCCCAAGCCGUGGUGCCGCUGCCUCCGCUGCCCGCCGAUGCGUGCACGCCUGCCACAGUGAUGCCGCCGUCCCUACCGUCGCACGCGCUAGAUCAGUUGUGCUUCAGCUGUGAGGAUGCUUAAUCUGCGGAAGGCGUCUCACGAUCCGUGGGCUCCGUGGCAGUGGCGGCGGCGAGAUUCGUGAUGAUGGACCAACAUCAAGGAGGCGCAAGGUCGAUCCACUCCCCUUUCAUGUGUCAGGUGAUCCGCCUCACAGCCCUUACUGCCCUUUUCAUCCUGCGAUCUAUUGUGCACUGACGGCAAUGCGUACCGAUAGGGUUCAGUAUUGUCGGGCUUGUUCUGUGCAUGUGGUUCCAUCCCUGCCACUUGAGGCUUCACUACGUUUGGAUCAUAAGUUCACUUUGAAUGAUUGCAAUUGAUUCGCACGUAUAUGCACGCUCCGUUCAGGUUCCAAUCCCAAAAUUGCAUCAUUUUGGAGGUUUCUGCUUGUGGUUGUUUUUUUCUUUUGAAAACCAAUGUUUGUGUGCGUACAUGGAAAUGGAAUAGUAUGAAUUAUUUGUAGCAUACAAGCAUUCUGCAUGCUAUAUGUGUUCCCCAAAAGUAUAACAUGUUGUUUAAGUUACUCCGAUCAAAUGCUCAGCGAUAUGAAAUUGAUUGUGAAUUUGUGCUUGUGCCAUGUGCCUGAACUUUCAGUGCAAAGCACAUGGACAACAUCUACUAACUUGAAUGGGAUGAUUGGUCCUCUAAAUAGUAGUAAUUGCAUCAAAGUUGCUGAGGUUCAAGGAACCGAAAUAAAGGUAUGUUUCUCUUAUAUUUUCCAUAUCGCGAUCAUGCAAAAAUAAUUGCUGUCUUGCUAUUUCCGUUAGUUUGUCUCUGCUAUUGCUGCAGAUGGAUGACUUCCUGUUGUGAUGCUUUGAGGAGUGUAUGGUGACGGGCACCCCUUUAGUUUAUUACUAAUUGACUAUGCAAACAACUUGAGCGUGAAUAGCAGUACACUAGGUGAUCAGGGAGUCAAAAGUUUGGAAGCCUUUUUUUGGAAAGGUUAGUUUGAGGGAACAAAAUUGCAAGAGUACAUAAUAUUAUCUAUGAAUGUGAACUUUGAAGGGUUGACCUUAAUGACCACACUUUUGUUUUAAAAUGGAUUGCAAAUGAUACAACUAUUAAUAACUCAGAUAGCCAGUGCUUCAGUCGACAGAUCUU
Panicum virgatum (switchgrass) is the source of this 1373-nucleotide long non-coding RNA. RefSeq lists it as uncharacterized. Lineage: Eukaryota; Viridiplantae; Streptophyta; Magnoliopsida; Poales; Poaceae. The record is from RefSeq and is a predicted model, not a curated record. The transcript is spliced from 2 exons.